UGUCGACAUCCUCAUUUUUGCUUCUCUCCCGAUCCUCCUCCCUCCGCGUGGUGCGAGCGUGACAGGAGCUAGGGUUAGCUUGCCGUGUGACCAGGAGAACGACGAUCGCGGCGGCGGAAGACUGGAUCUGCCUCGAGCCGAUGGUGGACGAUCACCACUCUCGUCGCUCAGUCCCCGCUAAUCCGGUAAUCCCUCGCACAAUCCCCACUCUCCUCGCUCGCAAAUCGUCACCGCAGCCGCAAACCCUGCCCCUCGGAGGCCCAUCCUCGCCAGCGCCGCCAUCCUCUCUCCUCCUCCGUCGCCCCUCUCUACCGAUGAGCAGCUCGAGCUCGACGCCGCGUCGUUGCCAUCACCCCACCUUCUCGUCCCUCCAGAUGUGCCUUCCAGCCCACAUCCUGCACGUUGCCUCCCUACCAAUCCCACUGAAGAUCAGGCAAUGCGAAACUUGACGAUCAGACACCCACGUCUGUCGCCACCCGAUCGUUCCCCGGGUGCCGGCGACAUCCACCUUCUACGGCCGGUGGAACGGGACAGGGAGGUCCUAGACCGCCCCUACCAGUGCCCCCAACUCAAGGCCCUCUCACGCCUGAGUCCCCGUCCCUGGUUGCCUCUGCCGCAACUCGUUCGAUCUACCACCAUCGCCGUUGGCCGAGCUUCAGUUGUUACCGCCGCCGCGAGAUCUUUCCAUGAACACAUCCUCCGCCUCACCAUCUACAACCUCAUCGAUUACUACUUCGAUGUGCAAAUCGGAGGUUUGCCACUGCGUGGAAUCUUAAGGCAAUCAGUGAAGUCAUGUUCAUCGCUCUCUACAAUGACACAGGUCACUUGUUAAUGGACAUAUACAAGGGAUCAUGAUGCGAUGCAAGGUUCUGUAAUUUACCAAGUUGUUUGCUUUGAAUUGCGCUGCCAUGUCAUCAGUAUAAUUUAUCAAGAUUUUUUUGGGGGGCAUAUAAUGCAGAAAUGGGUAAUCUAGAUUGAAAGUUACUGUCACGUUGGUUUGGAACAUAGUGUCAACUUAACUUUCUUUACUUGUUCUACGCAGAACGUCUGGAGUCACUUCUACCUAUGCUUGAAGGAUGAAAUUUUUUCAGAUGAUAGGGUAAUAUUGCUUGCACACGGUAGAAAACAUGGUGACGAGGUCCUGCUCUGCAAGUUGUAGUAUGUGCAUGUCAGUGCAGAUUAGUGCUGCUCUGCUUGAUCGGAUCAGUAAGGAUAGAUGAUCGACAUAAAUAUCUAGCUAGGAGAAAUCCUAACAACCAAAAGGCGCUGCUUGUUUCGGAAGGAGCCCUGGAGUUAUUUUGUUGGCUUCAGGCAUGCAUCCAUAUUUGUAAAAUUCAUUAUAGGCAUAAGAACGACAUAAGCGAAUGUGCUCGAAAAAAGAAAAACACCUCAGCUUUUAUCGCAUAUUAAAUUCACAAAGCACGGGCACACCAGGAGGCCAAAUUUAGUCGCUUUCUCUUCCAGUUCACGGUUUUGGAGGCUUUACCUGUAGCGACCAGAUUUGGAGGCUGGGCAGACCGUCAGGACGCUGGGGGAGGCGUCGCUGAUCAUGGAAGAGCUACACAAAGGCCGGAACUUACAGUUUCUCUGAAAACCGUAGGUACAUUCUGGAGUACAGGUGUUCUUCAGGUGAAACCUCCAACUAAGAAGGGAGAGGAUACAACAACUUAAGAUCAAUUUGCGUGUGCUUUACGGCGUUUGCCUUGCUAGCGUAAUGAUUCCCAUCAUUUUCCGUCCCAAAGAGGUCCAUUACCACACUGAAAAUAUAUACCAAUGGAAAAUUGUGAAACAAUGGCUCCAGGCGCAUGGCUAUCUGCUCAAGAGCAUGGCGUAGUGCUGUCUGCUUGAUUUCAAUUCGGAUGUUAAUGAAUCCUUGCUUUUUUCUAUAAAUUUAUCUUUGUGAAAAUAAUGAUGUCUCACUUCUACUUUGUACUUUUUCUACAACUUUUUUUAUUUUAUUUGUGAUCACAUGAAUUUUGAUUGUUUAGUGUUUAAGACAAAUAAAUACACACUGGUGCCAAAUAAAUCCAAAUGCAAAAGAAUAUAUGGAUUUAGUUCUAAUAACAAGAUUCAUACUUAAAAAUUGAGUAAUCCAAACAGGUGGCCUGCAUCAUCAUCCAUGUAAGCAAUCCAGGCCGCUGAGUUCUUUUUUUGUGUGUGUGCAUAUUUUAUAGAAAUAAAAGCAACUAUUCAGGGCCAAUUGGUUUCAAGUGUUCGUGAUGCCUGACAUUUCAGAAAUAUUAAUACAUGUAUCUAUCAUUGUCUUUUGUUUCUCAUAUGCAGUUCCUUUCGUGACUGGUUUUUUGCUCUUCACUCUUUCUGGAAUGGAGAAGUAAAGCCGGUAAGACCCCUGACCAGCUUCCUACCUUGCUCUUUAGUUUCAACUUUAGUGUAAUACAAUAAAUGUUGUUCCUGGAUGGUCAACACGCACAGUGGUAUUUAUGCGUAGAAAGUUUUGAUGUUGCUCUUAAUACUUUACUGUAAACGUGGUAAUGUAUCAAAUACUUGGACAUGGCGACUUGCAAGGAAGGAGUUAUAUGAUAGAAAUAUUAGAUCACAGUAUGAUGAUCCACAUUCCAGAGUUAAUCGUUCCUAGAGUUAGGGAAAAUAGUUGAGAAUCCGGAGCUUACUUGUGGCGUUGCUAUAGUGCGUAAAAGUCAUUUUACCAGUGUUCACAGAUUGUUUGUGUUGCUGCGGUCAGCCAUGCUAAAGAAUUCUCAACCAACCAACUGAACUUUUUGAGCUCGCAAGUCUAGACUCCCUUAGCCCGUGAUAAAUAAUCCUCGUACAUGGCAUGUGCAACAUUAAUACUCCCUCCGGUUCAUAUUACUUGCCGCUAAUAUGGAUGUAUCUAGAACUAAAAUGUAUCUAGAUACAUCUAUAUUGGAGGCAAGUAAUAUGAAUCAGAGGAAGUACCAGUAAAUUGCUUCUUCCUUUGUCGUCCUCAACUCCAUAAUAGUUGCUUGCUUUUAUUUAAGCGUAGAAAGUUUUGAUGUUGCUCUUAAUACUUUACUGUAUGACGUGGUAAUGUAUCAAAUACUUGGACAUGAUGUCCUCAACUCCAUAUGAUUCUUUUACCAUGCCAAAAAGAUACACUUAGUUGAUUCCAAAAGAAAUCUCUUUAGUUAGGUUUGUGUUGCAAUGCCAUCUUGAUGUGAAGUGAACUGGCAAGAUUAUUGUUCAAAGCAUCAGAUCAGGAUUGAAACAAAAAUUAGAGACUGCUAAACGUAUCCACAUCUCUUUUUUUUACGAUCAACUGAAUAUCUUCUCGCGGGCAAUCAAAAACAUACUAUAUUUCUUUCUUGAACAUGUACCUACAAAAAUCACAUUUUCAUUUCUGCAGGAAAGUAUUAUAUACGCUCUUCUUCUCCGACAAACUUAAGUUAUUACUUAUCUGCUUACAUGAAUAUUGUCAUAAAGAUGGAAAGAGACUUUCAGGUAUCACAUUCAUAAAGAGUUCCUUUAACCUGGGAUUUUUUUUCAUUUUACAUGACAAGCAACACCUGUAUUGCCUUGCAUAUUCAUCUUACACAAAGAAUACACUAAAAGUUUGUAGUAAUCCCUCUGCCCAAAUAAAAAUUCUCACUAUCAUGGGAGCUCUGGCACUUUCUAUUUCUGGUACUUGUGGAACUCAUAUGCAGAUCAGUGACAACCUUGAUGAUCAACAAGUAUGUAGCAUGUCCCUCCCAGCAAAAGAACUUGCAAAGUGCCACUACAGAAGUAGGUCUACUAAAAAAAAGUCAGUUGGUUGAGAAAUGUGGGCCUGAAAAAUUGUAUGAGUACCUUUGUUGAAAUGAUCUUGUAAUAUCAUCUUCUCAUAACUGAAGAAGUCCAGUGCAUCAAAGUCUUCAAUUUAUUAACCAAGUGGUGAUUCAGAGCU
Molecule: long non-coding RNA, 3880 nt
Organism: Lolium perenne
Lineage: Eukaryota; Viridiplantae; Streptophyta; Magnoliopsida; Poales; Poaceae
Source: RefSeq, a predicted model, not a curated record